This 27-nucleotide non-coding RNA is filed under the name Homo sapiens (human). Lineage: Eukaryota; Metazoa; Chordata; Mammalia; Primates; Hominidae. The record is from RNAcentral.
UAAGGUGAAAUCCGAGAACACUCUUCC